UCCACAGAACUUGCCAGAGAUGGCUUUGGUUGCCUUCGGGAACUGUGAGACAGGUGCUGCAUGGCUGUCGUCAGCUCGUGUUGUGAAAUGUUGGGUUAAGUCCCGCAACGAGCGCAACCCUUAUCCUUUGUUGCCAGCGGUCCGGCCGGGAACUCAAAGGAGACUGCCAGUGAUAAACUGGAGGAAGGUGGGGAUGACGUCAAGUCAUCAUGGCCCUUACGACCAGGGCUACACACGUGCUACAAUGGCGCAUACAAAGAGAAGCGACCUCGCGAGAGCAAGCGGACCUCAUAAAGUGCGUCGUAGUCCGGAUUGGAGUCUGCAACUCGACUCCAUGAAGUCGGAAUCGCUAGUAAUCGUGAAUCAGAAUGUCACGGUGAAUACGUUCCCGGGUUUGGUACACACCG
Molecule: ribosomal RNA, 407 nt
Filed under: Kosakonia arachidis
Lineage: Bacteria; Pseudomonadati; Pseudomonadota; Gammaproteobacteria; Enterobacterales; Enterobacteriaceae
Description: bacterial SSU rRNA
Rfam family: Bacterial small subunit ribosomal RNA
Source: RNAcentral